This 278-nucleotide unclassified non-coding RNA is filed under the name uncultured fungus. RNAcentral describes it as "partial contains 5.8S ribosomal RNA, internal transcribed spacer 2, and large subunit ribosomal RNA". The stretch from base 1 to 52 matches the Rfam family "5.8S ribosomal RNA", at positions 103 to 154 of the family's 154-position model. Lineage: Eukaryota; Fungi. The record is from RNAcentral.
AACGCACAUUGCGCCCGCCAGUAUUCUGGCGGGCAUGCCUGUUCGAGCGUCAUUUCAACCCUCGAAGCCCCCCCGGGGGCGUCGGUGUUGGGGGACGGCCCCGCCCACCCAGUGGGUGGCCGCCCCCGAAAUGCAGUGGCGACCCCGCCGCAGCCUCCCCUGCGUAGUAGCUAUCGUUUUAGAAACCUCGCAUCGGAGCGCGGCGCGUGCUCGGCCGUGAAACCCCAACUUUCUGAAAGGUUGACCUCGGAUCAGGUAGGAAUACCCGCUGAACUUAA